This 492-nucleotide ribosomal RNA is filed under the name uncultured bacterium. RNAcentral describes it as "partial 16S ribosomal RNA". It matches the Rfam family "Bacterial small subunit ribosomal RNA", at positions 29 to 507 of the family's 1533-position model. The record is from RNAcentral.
AGUGAACGCUGGCGGUAGGCCUAACACAUGCAAGUCGAACGGCAGCACAGUAAGAGCUUGCUCUUACGGGUGGCGAGUGGCGGACGGGUGAGGAAUACAUCGGAAUCUACUUUUUCGUGGGGGAUAACGUAGGGAAACUUACGCUAAUACCGCAUACGACCUACGGGUGAAAGCAGGGGAUCUUCGGACCUUGCGCGAUUGAAUGAGCCGAUUUCGGAUUAGCUAGUUGGCGGGGUAAAGGCCCACCAAGGCGACGAUCCGUAGCUGGUCUGAGAGGAUGAUCAGCCACCCUGGAACUGAGACACGGUCCAGACUACUACGGGAGGGAGCAGUGGGGAAUAUUGGACAAUGGGCGCAAGCCUGAUCCAGCCAUACCGCGUGGGUGAAGAAGGCCUUCGGGUUGUAAAGCCCUUUUGUUGGGAAAGAAAAGCAGCAGGUUAAUACCCCGCUGUUCUGACGGUACCCAAAGAAUAAGCACCGGCUAACUUCGUG